RNAcentral lists this ribosomal RNA (486 nucleotides) under uncultured bacterium. RNAcentral describes it as "partial 16S ribosomal RNA". It matches the Rfam family "Bacterial small subunit ribosomal RNA", at positions 30 to 507 of the family's 1533-position model. The record is from RNAcentral.
AUUGAACGCUGGCGGCAUGCGUUACACAUGCAAGUCGAACGGCAGCACGGGUGCUUGCACCUGGUGGCGAGUGGCGAACGGGUGAGUAAUACAUCGGAACAUGUCCUGUAGUGGGGGAUAGCCCGGCGAAAGCCGGAUUAAUACCGCAUACGAUCUACGGAUGAAAGCGGGGGACCUUCGGGCCUCGCGCUAUAGGGUUGGCCGAUGGCUGAUUAGCUAGUUGGUGGGGUAAAGGCCUACCAAGGCGACGAUCAGUAGCUGGUCUGAGAGGACGACCAGCCACACUGGGACUGAGACACGGCCCAGACUCCUACGGGAGGCAGCAGUGGGGAAUUUUGGACAAUGGGCGAAAGCCUGAUCCAGCAAUGCCGCGUGUGUGAAGAAGGCCUUCGGGUUGUAAAGCACUUUUGUCCGGAAAGAAAUCCUUGGCCCUAAUACGGUCGGGGGAUGACGGUACCGGAAGAAUAAGCACCGGCUAACUACGUG